AACGAACGCUGGCGGCAUGCCUAACACAUGCAAGUCGAACGAGACCUUCGGGUCUAGUGGCGCACGGGUGCGUAACGCGUGGGAACCUGCCCUUAGGUUCGGAAUAACUCCCCGAAAGGGGUGCUAAUACCGGAUAAUGUCUUCGGACCAAAGAUUUAUCGCCUUUGGAUGGGCCCGCGUUGGAUUAGCUAGUUGGUAGGGUAAAAGCCUACCAAGGCGACGAUCCAUAGCUGGUCUGAGAGGAUGAUCAGCCGCACUGGGACUGAGACACGGCCCAGACUCCUACGGGAGGCAGCAGUGGGGAAUAUUAGACAAUGGGCGAAAGCCUGAUCCAGCAAUGCCGCGUGAGUGAUGAAGGCCUUAGGGUUGUAAAGCUCUUUUACCCGGGAUGAUAAUGACAGUACCGGGAGAAUAAGCUCCGGCUAACUCCGUG
Molecule: ribosomal RNA, 433 nt
Filed under: uncultured bacterium
Lineage: Bacteria
Description: partial 16S ribosomal RNA
Rfam family: Bacterial small subunit ribosomal RNA
Source: RNAcentral